GACGAACGCUAGCGGCAUGCUUAAUACAUGCAAGUCGAGGGGCAACAGGACUGUAUCAAUACAGUUGCUGGCGACCGGCAAACGGGUGCGGCACACGUACGCAACUUACCCUGAACGGGGGGAUAGCCCGGAGAAACCCGAAUAAAUACCACGUAAUAUAAUGGAAUGGCAUCUCUUUAUUAUUAAUGCGCCGGCGGUUCGGGAUGGGUGUGCGGCGGAUUAUGGCGUCGGUUGAGGUAAAGGCUCACAAAGCCGACGAUCAGUAACUGGUGUGCGAGCACGACCAGUGAGACGGGCACUGGGCCAAGGGCCCCACUGCUACGGGAGGCAGCCGUACGGAAGAUUGGGCAAGGGAGGCAACUCUGACCCGCCCAUGCCGCGUGGAGGAGGAACGCGUUCUGGGUUGUAAACUUCUUUUAGUAGGGCCGAUACCUGUGUAAUCUUACGCAGUUGACGGUACCUUCGGAAUAAGCACCGGCUAACUCCGUG
RNAcentral lists this ribosomal RNA (489 nucleotides) under uncultured bacterium. Its description in RNAcentral is "partial 16S ribosomal RNA". It matches the Rfam family "Bacterial small subunit ribosomal RNA", at positions 28 to 507 of the family's 1533-position model. The record is from RNAcentral.